Molecule: ribosomal RNA, 460 nt
Filed under: uncultured bacterium
Lineage: Bacteria
Description: partial 16S ribosomal RNA
Rfam family: Bacterial small subunit ribosomal RNA
Source: RNAcentral
CCUACGGGAGGCAGCAGUGAGGAAUAUUGGUCAAUGGACGAGAGUCUGAACCAGCCAAGUAGCGUGAAGGAUGACUGCCCUAUGGGUUGUAAACUUCUUUUAUAUGGGAAUAAAAUGUUCCACGUGUGGGAUUUUGUAUGUACCAUAUGAAUAAGGAUCGGCUAACUCCGUGCCAGCAGCCGCGGUAAUACGGAGGAUCCGAGCGUUAUCCGGAUUUAUUGGGUUUAAAGGGAGCGUAGGUGGAUUGUUAAGUCAGUUGUGAAAGUUUGCGGCUCAACCGUAAAAUUGCAGUUGAAACUGGCAGUCUUGAGUACAGUAGAGGUGGGCGGAAUUCGUGGUGUAGCGGUGAAAUGCUUAGAUAUCACGAAGAACUCCGAUUGCGAAGGCAGUUCACUGGACUGCAACUGACGCUGAGGCUCGAAAGUGUGGGUAUCAAACAGGAUUAGAUACCCGUGUAGUC